CUCAAGGAAGCAUUUUGUCCACGUGGACACAAAGCACUCUCUCAAGGAAGCGUUAUUUGUCCACGUGGACAAAGCGCUUCCUUGAGG
This is a non-coding RNA of Gossypium hirsutum (cotton), 87 nucleotides long. The record is from Rfam. NCBI's taxonomy places the organism in Eukaryota, Viridiplantae, Streptophyta, Magnoliopsida, Malvales, Malvaceae.